This 408-nucleotide long non-coding RNA is filed under the name Capsella rubella. RNAcentral describes it as "long non-coding RNA (CRUB_LNC004606)". The record is from RNAcentral. Lineage: Eukaryota; Viridiplantae; Streptophyta; Magnoliopsida; Brassicales; Brassicaceae.
UUGGGAUACCUAGUGCUGUAAAGUUUCUAGUGGAUGUGUAAUUCCUUGUUAUUUUUUUAUUUUUUUUCCUUUCAUUCCGAUCAUUUAUAUAUCUCAUCCUUAUAAUUCACAUCCACAGAAACUUUAAUAUAUAUUUUUUCCAAACAAGUAUGACAUCACAUGAUUAAACUAUGUUUAACUCUUAUUUACAUUUUAUGAUAGUGUAUUAUUUUUAGUUAUUCUUUUUCUUGUUUUUUUACAUCUUUUUAGUUAUUCUAUUUUUAGUUUUUUACAAACCUGUUCAUUUAUACUAGUUUUUAAGUUCUAUAAAUUUAAAUUUUCCUAAUAAACAUUAAAAUAGUGCCUUUGUAAGACGCAUUAUAUAUCUCUCACGAGUUAAUUAUAAAUACAAAUACAUUACGCAUACAA